GGAUUAGGCAUGCAAGUCGAACGAGGAUAUAUCCUUCGGGAUAUAAGCCGAGUGGCGCAAGGGUGAGUAAUGCAUAGAUUACCUACCUCCGGGAUAAGGACAACUUUGUGAAAACGAAGCUAAUACUUAAUAAUACAAAAGAAAAUAAUUUUCAUUUGUCAAAGGAAGGGUAGUAAUACCUUUUGCCAGGAGAGGGGUUUAUGUCCUAUCAGCUUGUUGGUGGGGUAAUGGCCUACCAAGGCGUAGACGGGUAGCCGGCCUUAGAGGGUGGUCGGCCACACUGGGACUGAGACACUGCCCAGACUUCUACGGAAGGCUGCAGUCGAGAAUCCUUCGCAAUGCCCGAAAGGGUGACGAAGCGACGCCGCGUGGGUGAGGAAGGCCUUCGGGUUGUAAAGCCCUGUCAGGAGUUAAGAAAUAUAAGUGCGCUAAUAUCGCAUUUAUUUGACGAAGGCUCCAAAGGAAGCCACGGCUAACUCUGUGCCAGCAGCCGCGGUAAUACAGAGGUGGCAAGCGUUGUUCGGAAUUAUUGGGCGUAAAGAGCACGUAGGUGGGUUUGUAAGUCAGAUGUGAAAGCCUUCUGUUCAACGGAAGAAUUGCAUCUGAAACUACAAGUCUUGAGUGUAGGAGGGGAGAAUGGAACUUCUGGUGGAGCGGUGAAAUGCGUAGAUAUCAGAAGGAACGCCGGCGGCGAAAGCGAUUCUCUGGCCUAUUACUGACACUCAGUGUGCGAAAGCUAGGGGAGCAAACGGGAUUAGAUACCCCGGUAGUCCUAGCUGUAAACGAUGGGCACUAAGUAGAGGGGUUUU
Molecule: ribosomal RNA, 809 nt
Filed under: Candidatus Scalindua marina (nom. nud.)
Lineage: Bacteria; Pseudomonadati; Planctomycetota; Candidatus Brocadiia; Candidatus Brocadiales; Candidatus Scalinduaceae
Description: bacterial SSU rRNA
Rfam family: Bacterial small subunit ribosomal RNA
Source: RNAcentral